RNAcentral lists this long non-coding RNA (1175 nucleotides) under Cricetulus griseus (Chinese hamster). Its description in RNAcentral is "lncRNA (ENSCGRG00015029287.1)". The record is from RNAcentral. Lineage: Eukaryota; Metazoa; Chordata; Mammalia; Rodentia; Cricetidae.
UGAUGUAAUACAGAAUAAGAGGAGAAUUUGGGGCCUGUCUUUGUCUUUUCUUGGCUCUUUCCUUCAAGGUGUACACCCUGUCAUAUUGUUAUGCUCUCAUGGUUGCCUUUUCCAGUAUACAUACUUACACAAGCAAACAUUUCUCUGCUAACAUUUAUGUCUGAGUCCCACACACCCAAUGAAGACCUGCCUGACAGCAAUCCCUGGACACUCCCGAAGGAAAUUGGGCCAUACCUCCUUGACUGCACUGGAUCCAUCUUGCUCCAUUUUAACGGACACUUCGGCCAGAGCUUUGGGUACUGACUUCAAUCAAGUUGAGGAUUUCAAGCAAGAUCUUCAAUCAAAUGAAUCCCAUCUAACAUGGACUGGAUACAAUCCAUUCAAGACUUUCACUAUACUAACAUUUUCUUCCUACAGGACCCCACAAGGCUGUCGUCAUCCCAUUUCAUCAGGAAGUAACUUGGAGGAUGCUACACCCCCUUUCCCCAUUGUUGUCACUUAGGAUAGUGUAUAUACCUAGUUAGGGAUAGCUUCCUAUUGUUUAUGGUUGGGAGUGGAAGGAGGUGUUCAGGCUUGGACACCUCUUUCAGAUGGCUUUAUGGUUUAGUUAAAAUAGACAUAGUUAGGACGUAACAUAAGCAGAUUGUUAUACCUUAUAUUUCACCUUUAUGAUUGUUAAUUUUGGAUACUUUACACUGUUAAGUUUUAAUCCUCUUUUAGACUAAAAGGGGAAUUGUAGGGGAUGCUGUAGCCACGCUUCCUUAGGGGCUGGCUACAGGUGUGCCUGACCACGCCUUAGAGGGCGUGGCCAGGGUGAUGUAGGGAAAGUUUAAGAGUGAGGGCGCUCAGGUGACGGCCCUGCUUUCCCUUUCAUCUUCGGCUUGCUGUUCUUACUGCUGCCCCACCGGCUGGCUGGGUCGCUCUCCCAGAGCUCUUCCUGUGGCCAGAUGUGCUGAAGAGACAACACCAGCCAGAAGGCCAGCGAGACGCCCUCUGCAGCCAGCAGACAGCAUCUUAACGAUUCCUGCACUGAGGAGUCCUGGAGACGGCUGUCACCCUUGGAGCCCCCAGACUGAGGAGGAAGGCCAGACAGGAGUACCCUGUCCUGAAGACAAGUUCUCAUCAGAGUAGGGGAGAAGCACACCCUUCCCACAACUCUUCAAGAGAGGAGUCGG